GCCUAACACAUGCAAGUCGAACGGUAACAGGAAGCAGCUUGCUGCUUCGCUGACGAGUGGCGGACGGGUGAGUAAUGUCUCGGAAGCUGCCUGAUGGAGGGGGAUAACUACUGGAAACGGUAGCUAAUACCGCAUAAUGUCGCAAGACCAAAGAGGGGGACCUUCGGGCCUCUUGCCAUCGGAUGUGCCCAGAUGGGAUUAGCUUGUUGGUGGGGUAACGGCUCACCAAGGCGACGAUCCCUAGCUGGUCUGAGAGGAUGACCAGCCACACUGGAACUGAGACACGGUCCAGACUCCUACGGGAGGCAGCAGUGGGGAAUAUUGCACAAUGGGCGCAAGCCUGAUGCAGCCAUGCCGCGUGUAUGGAGAAGGCCUUCGGGUUGUAAAGUACUUUCAGCGGGGAGGAAGGGAGUAAAGUUAAUACCUUUGCUCAUUGACGUUACCCGCAGAAGAAGCACCGGCUAACUCCGUGCCAGCAGCCGCGGUAAUACGGAGGGUGCAAGCGUUAAUCGGAAUUACUGGGCGUAAAGCGCACGCAGGCGGUUUGUUAAGUCAGAUGUGAAAUCCCCGGGCUCAACCUGGGAACUGCAUCUGAUACUGGCAAGCUUGAGUCUCGUAGAGGGGGGUAGAAUUCCAGGUGUAGCGGUGAAAUGCGUAGAGAUCUGGAGGAAUACCGGUGGCGAAGGCG
Molecule: ribosomal RNA, 688 nt
Filed under: uncultured Pseudomonadota bacterium
Lineage: Bacteria; Pseudomonadati; Pseudomonadota
Description: bacterial SSU rRNA
Rfam family: Bacterial small subunit ribosomal RNA
Source: RNAcentral